Molecule: ribosomal RNA, 487 nt
Filed under: uncultured bacterium
Lineage: Bacteria
Description: partial 16S ribosomal RNA
Rfam family: Bacterial small subunit ribosomal RNA
Source: RNAcentral
GAUGAACGCUAGCGAUAGGCUUAACACAUGCAAGUCGAGGGGCAGCACAAGGUAGCUUGCUAUCUGGGUGGCGACCGGCGCACGGGUGCGUAACGCGUAUGCAACUUGCCCUAUACAGGAGGAUAACCCGUCGAAAGACGGACUAAUACUGCGUAUGCUCACAACUUGGCAUCAAGUGGUGAGGAAAGAAAUUCGGUAUAGGAUAGGCAUGCGUCCCAUUAGCUUGUUGGUGAGGUAACGGCUCACCAAGGCAACGAUGGGUAGGGGAGCUGAGAGGUUUAUCCCCCACACUGGUACUGAGACACGGACCAGACUCCUACGGGAGGCAGCAGUGAGGAAUAUUGGUCAAUGGGCGCGAGCCUGAACCAGCCAAGUCGCGUGAAGGAUGACUGUCUUAUGGAUUGUAAACUUCUUUUAUACGGGAAUAACAAGAGUCACGUGUGACUCCCUGCAUGUACCGUAUGAAUAAGCAUCGGCUAACUCCGUG